AUGAAAGGAAUUUUUUGGAAUAGCAGAGGUCUUAAGGACUUGGCUAAAAGAAGGUUUCUCGCUGAGGAGUCUCUGGAGCGCCGUCUAGAUUUCGUUGCUCUCUCCGAAACUGGAAGAGAUAAUUUUGCUCCUCAGUUUCUUGCUUCUCUUGUCGGUGGUAUCGAUUUUGACUGGCAUUGCCUGCCUCCACGUGGACGAUCGGGAGGAAUCUUACUGGGAGUGAGAUGCGAUUCUCUUGAGGUCAGGAGUGUGGUGAUGGGGGACUUUGCGGUUAAGUUUCGGGUUAGGUCAAAAGUUGAUGGAUUCGACUGGGCUUUAGUGGCGGUUUACGGAGCCGCACAACCGGAGCUUAAACCGGAAUUUCUUGCGGAUCUUGUUCGAAUCUGUGGAUCCGAACAGCUCCCAAUGCUAGUCGGGGGUGAUUUCAAUAUCAUUCGAAGGAGAGAGGAGAAGAACAAUGAUAACUUCGACGGGAGAUGGUCAUUUAUGUUUAACACCAUUAUUGAGAGCUUGGAUCUGAGGGAGAUAGAGCUUUCUGGCAGAAAGUUUACCUGGGCUAAUGCUCUGCCAAACCCAACAUAUGAAAAGCUUGAUCGUGUGCUGGCUAGUGUAGAGUGGGAACAUAAAUUCCCUCUGGUUACGGUACAAGCUUUAACGAGAGGCAUAUCCGAUCACACACCACUGUUUGUGGACUCCGGGGAGUCCAACUAUGUGGGAAACAAGAACACUUUCUCAUUCGAGAUGGCCUGGUUCGAACGUGAAGGUUUCUUAGACCUCGUUGCCAGGGAAUGGGAUAAGGGGGGUGGAGGUAGAACGGCGGUUGAACGUUGGCAGAACAAAAUAAGGCACUUAAGAAGUUUCUUACGAGGGUGGGCUAAGCACCUAAGUGGGGCUUAUAAGAUCGAAAAGGAUAGACUCCUAGCUCUUACUCAGGCCCUAGAUACAAAAGCUGAAUCUUCAAUUCUGCUACCCGCCGAGCUCCAGGUUAAGAACGAGGCUGAGAAGAGGUUGAAAGAACUUCUCCGCGAGGAAGAGUUGAAGUGGGCGUUGCGCGCUAAGGUCCGCAAAGUAGUCCAAGGGGAUGCCAAUACUCAAUUCUUUCACCUGAUUGCGAAUGGCAAGCACCGUAAGAAACGUAUUUUCCAGCUAGAGCAAGAUGAAGGCACAAUCAUUGGGCAGGAUAAUCUCAAAGCAUACAUCACUGAGUAUUAUAGACAGUUAUUCGGGCCGCCGGAGGUUAAUUCCGUGUCCUUGGAUGAGUCCAGGACUGAUGAUGUUCCUCAGUUGUCGGUAGCCGAUAAUGAGAUUUUGCUGGCCCCAUUUACGGAGAAGGAGGUGUUUGAUGCUAUAGCACAAAUGAAAAACAAUAAGGCUCCCGGACCGGAUGGGUUUCCGGCUGAGUUCUAUAAAAAGUGCUGGCACAUUAUUAAGGGGGAUCUGCUACCUAUGUUUACCGAUCUUUUCUCGGGACAGCUACAACUGUUUCACUUGAAUUUCGGAACCAUCACAUUACUCCCUAAGAGAACGGAGGUUGUGCGCAUUGAGCAGUUCAGGCCGAUUUGCCUACUCAAUGUUAGUUUCAAAAUAUUCACCAAGGUCGGGACGAACAGGCUCUCACAGAUUGCGCUUUCUGUGGUGCAACAGUCUCAAACUGCUUUUAUGCCGGAUAGAAACAUCCUUGAAGGGGUGGUUGUCCUGCAUGAAAUGCUCCAUGAAAUUCAUUCUAAAAAAUUAGAUGGAGUAAUUUUUAAGGUGGAUUUCGAAAAGGCGUAUGAUAAGGUUAAGUGGCCAUUCCUGCAGCAGGCAUUGCGUAUGAAAGGUUUUGAUGAUGCCUGGCGCCAUCAGGUGGAAUCUUUUACGCAAAAAGGGAGUGUUGGUAUUAAAGUAAAUGACGAUAUAGGUCAUUACUUCCAAACUCACAAGGGCCUCAGGCAAGGAGAUCCAAUGUCCCCUAUCUUGUUUAACAUCGUGGUGGAUAUGUUAGCAAUUUUGAUAGGAAGGGCGAAGGACAAUGGACAAGUGGGUGGCCUAGUACCUCAUCUGGUUGAUGGAGGUGUAUCUAUUCUUCAAUACGCUGAUGAUACAAUACUCUUUAUGGAGCACGAUUUGGCCAAGGCGAGAAAUAUGAAGUUGUUACUAUGCCUCUUUGAACAAUUAUCGGGGUUGAAGAUCAAUUUCCAUAAGAGCGAGUUGUUCUGCUUUGGGAGAGCCAAAGACGAACAAGAGUCUUAUAGGCAAUUGUUUGGGUGCGAGUUGGGAAGUUUACCUUUCUCCUACCUUGGCAUUCCGAUACAUCAUCGUAGGCUAACUAACAAAGAGUGGAAGUGUGUCGAGGAUCGAUUUGAGAAGAAACUGAGCUGCUGGAAGGGUAAGCUCAUGUCAUACGGAGGCCGGUUAAUCUUGAUUAACUCGGUGCUCACAAGUAUGCCUAUGUUCCUCUUAUCUUUCUUUGAAGUUCCAGUGGGUGUUAGGAAAAGACUGGACUUUUAUCGAUCACGUUUCUUUUGGCAGGGUGAUGAGCACAAAAGAAAAUACCGGCUUGCUAAGUGGGAUAUUAUCUGUCGACCCAAAGACCAAGGUGGGCUUGGUAUUGAGAAUCUAGAGGUUAAGAACAGAUGCCUUCUUAGUAAGUGGUUGUGGAAGCUCGCGUCCGGUACUGAAGCAAUGUGGGCGCAAAUCAUUCGCAGCAAGUACCUCCAGACUAGAACGUUAUCGCAAGUAUCAGUUAGGCCGACUGAUUCGCCUUUCUGGAAGGGACUAAUGAAAGUCAAAGUAUUACUGUUUAAUAGGACAAAAGUGGUCCUUGGAAAUGGUGCUACUACACGUUUCUGGGAGGAUUCUUGGCUGGGUGACUCGCCCUUGGCUAUGCAGUAUCCUUCUUUAUAUCGUAUUGCGCAACGACGAGAGGUGUUCGUGGCAACGGUAUUUCAAACUAUCCCCCUUAAUAUUCAGUUUAGACGGUCGUUAGUGGGCAAUCGUUGGGAGGUUUGGCUCCAGUUAGUAAGGAGACUAAUGGAGGUCCAACUCUCUGACCAACCUGAUGUAUUACGCUGGAAGUUGACCAAGAAUGGGGUAUUUACAGUGAGGUCAAUGUAUCUUGAUGUUAUUAACUCAAGUUCUAUUCCAACGUCCAAAAAGGUAUGGGAUGUUAAAGUUCCUUUGAAAAUAAAAGUGUUUAUGUGGUUUGUGCAUAAACAAGUCAUUCUCACAAAGGACAAUUUGAUAAAGCGUAAUUGGACAGGACCUACUAGGUGUAGUUUCUGUGAUCGAGAUGAGACAAUUAAACAUCUCUUUUUUGAUUGCCCGCUAGCUAAGGUUCUAUGGCAGACGGUGCAUAUGGCCUUUAAUAUUACUCCACCCACCACGGUUACCGCUUUAUUUGGGACUUGGCUUAAUGGGAUUGAUUCUGCAUUAGCAAGGCAUAUUCGGGUGGGAGUUUGUGCGUUGAUGUGGACCAUCUGGUUGUGCAGAAAUGAUUUGGUUUUUAACAGAACACCACGAAUUCAUUUUUUGCAGGUUCUAUUCCGAGCUACGGCUUUGAUCCGUUUGUGGUCGUCACUCACUCCGAUGGAGGCCAGGGAGUAUUUGGUUACUGGGUCUACCCGAUGGGAGAUGGCUGCUCGGGUUAUCUUCAACCGGUUUGGAUGGCAGUCAUGUAAUAGGAUAGGCAAUUAG
Molecule: ribosomal RNA, 3675 nt
Filed under: Triticum aestivum (bread wheat)
Lineage: Eukaryota; Viridiplantae; Streptophyta; Magnoliopsida; Poales; Poaceae
Description: partial small subunit ribosomal RNA
Source: RNAcentral